CCUUCGGGAGGGGAUUAGUGGCGAACGGGUGAGUAACACGUGGGCAAUCUGCCCUGCACUCUGGGAUAACUCCGGGAAACGGAGCUAAUACCGGAUACGACCAUCGCGGGCAUCCGUGGUGGUGGAAAGCUCCGGCGGUGCAGGAUGAGCCCGCGGCCUAUCAGCUUGUUGGUGGGGUGAUGGCCCACCAAGGCGACUACGGGUAGCCGGCCUGAGAGGGCGACCGGCCACACUGGGACUGAGACACGGCCCAGACUCCUACGGGAGGCAGCAGUGGGGAAUAUUGCACAAUGGGCGCAAGCCUGAUGCAGCGACGCCGCGUGAGGGAUGACGGCCUUCGGGUUGUAAACCUCUUUCAGCAGGGAAGAAGCGCAAGUGACGGUACCUGCAGAAGAAGCACCGGCUAACUACGUGCCAGCAGCCGCGGUAAUACGUAGGGUGCGAGCGUUGCCGGAAUUAUUGGGCGUAAAGAGCUCGUAAGCGGCUUGUCUCGUCGGAUGUGAAAGCCGGGGCUUAACCCGGGUCUGCCUUCGAUACGGCUACUAGAUUCGUAAGGGGA
RNAcentral lists this ribosomal RNA (559 nucleotides) under Streptomyces sp. 239. RNAcentral's name for it is "bacterial SSU rRNA". It matches the Rfam family "Bacterial small subunit ribosomal RNA", at positions 77 to 657 of the family's 1533-position model. The record is from RNAcentral. Lineage: Bacteria; Bacillati; Actinomycetota; Actinomycetes; Kitasatosporales; Streptomycetaceae.